GUUGGUUGAGAUUGGACGUGUUUGUGCGGCUCUGCGUUUGCUCGUUCGUUCAUUGUGCGGUUGGAGCAUCUUUUGCUUUAGAACAAAAAAAAACUGAACCAGCAAUAAUCAUCACCGUCAUCGUUAUCAUUUUGGAAAACGUGACGAAUUUGAAAUUACAUAUUUCUGCUGGAUAUAGUGCAGUGGUGGAAACGGAAAUUAACUGAUCGAGAACUACACUCUUGUGAGAAACUGCAUCUGAAAAAGUGAGCAUCGCCUUUGCUGACCGCAGUGUCUAGUUAGUAAAGGAGCGCAGUGGAAAUAGUUUGGAACUUCCAUUUUUGUUCUGUCCCUCUCUACACGCAGUCGUUUAUUUUUUUUCAUUUUGUUCAUCCGUCCGCAGCGCAGAGUCGCAGCCCGAUGUUGAGUCAAGAUCGAGAAAUCUAGCUGCAGGCUUUUUCGGGUGUGUAUUAGUGAGUGUUCUGGCUACUUUGCAUGACAGCUGCUUCAGCUGCUCUCUCCGACGAGGCGUUUUCUAUGCUGCGAGUGAAUCGCUCUUUUUUCCUCUUCUUUCAUCGGUGUGUAUGUGAAGCACUACCUGCAAGCAUAGAAGUGUAAACAAUCAUUUUGAGAACUGUCAAAGUGGAGCUGAAUACAAAGUGCAGAAAAUACGCGAAUUGUGACGAACAUCCGUAGUAUUUCAUCAGUUCUGAGUUGAUUGAUGCAAGAGUUUUGAGAUUAUACGCAAGAAGUUAUGAUAUGAAUACGCGUUGCGUAGCUGGGCUGUACUGAAUGAGAUACCCCCCAAAAGUUGAAGCAGUAACAUCAGGAAGCGAAUUACCCAGUAGGAUGCAGAUUUUAGUUUACUUCUGAAUCCCCGAACUUAUCCAACAUCAUCACCCUACCUACACUCACGCUCAAAUAUUCAUACCUACCCUAAAGCUGCCACUAUCAAGACGCACAAGGGCCACAAAUUAAGGAGCAGGCGAAAUCUAGAAAUGAAAAUUGUGAAUGAAAAUCCGCAGUGGUUAGGUUGUGUUUUGUUUUGAAACCGCUCGCGUAAUCAGCCAAUUAUUACGAGCUAAAAUCUAGUGCGUUUAUUGUUUGCUUCGACGGGUGACGGACUCCGCACAUUCGCCCGUGAAGGUUAUGCAGUAGUAGCAAAGUGUUUCUGUCGACUAAAAUAAAGUGUCCGUGUUAUAGGCGGUGGAAAGUGUCCGUUGUAUGCUACGUUAUUUGUUCAAUUGUAUAUAUUUGAAGUUAGUUAAAGAAGUUGGCAGCAAAAUUGCAAGGUUUUCUGCGUCAUCAUUGGUUCAUGUCCAGUUAGGUUCACGGCAGGGUUAGCUUCUGUGCGCCGUGCUGUUGGAUGGCGGCUGUUGGUGGUCCGACCAGGCAAUCGCGCGGGGUUUCCAUGAGUGUGUCGAUGUCGCUGGUACAGGGUGGUGCAGCUGGUGCGGCCGGACCGCAGGGAGCUAUCCUGGCGGCGGCCGCACCCUAUUAUCAACCACCGGCCGUUCCCCAGGAUGUGCAGCCAGAUCGCCCCAUUGGUUACGGAGCAUUCGGAGUCGUAUGGGCUGUCACAGAUCCUCGUGACGGACGUCGGGUCGCACUGAAAAAACUGCCAAACGUGUUCCAGUCGCUGGUGUCAUCGAAACGUGUUUUCCGGGAGCUGAAAAUGCUCUGCUUCUUUAAGCACGAAAACGUACUGUCAGCACUCGACAUCUUACAGCCACCUCAUUUGGACUUUUUCCAAGAAAUCUACGUCAUCACCGAACUACUUCAGUCGGAUCUACAUAAAAUCAUCGUGUCGCCUCAGCACCUCUCAGCGGAUCAUAUCAAAGUGUUUCUGUACCAGAUCCUACGCGGUCUUAAGUAUCUCCACUCGGCACGUAUUCUCCACCGAGACAUCAAACCCGGAAAUUUGCUCGUGAAUAGCAACUGUGUACUCAAGAUUUGCGAUUUUGGACUGGCCCGUGUUGAGGAACCUGACCAAUCGAAGCAUAUGACACAGGAAGUAGUUACUCAGUAUUACCGUGCACCGGAGAUUCUCAUGGGUGCACGACAUUAUUCGGCUGCCGUCGACGUUUGGUCGGUGGGAUGCAUAUUCGGUGAGCUGUUAGGCAGGAGGAUUCUUUUCCAGGCACAAAGCCCAGUGCAGCAGCUGGAGCUCAUCACAGAACUGUUGGGCACCCCCUCGUUAGAAGACAUGCGACACGCCUGUGACGGAGCCAGAACUCACAUGCUCCGACGAGCCCCGAAACCGCCAUCACACUCCGCACUGUACACGCUUAGCACGCAUGCCACCCACGAAGCAGUGCAUCUACUCUGCCAGAUGCUGGUUUUCGACCCAGACAAAAGAAUAUCGGUGAUUGAUGCCCUGGCACAUCCAUACGUCGAUGAGGGUCGGCUCCGUUACCAUUCCUGCAUGUGCAAAUGCUGUUACACUCCGUCGGCGGGUAUGCGUCAGUACGCGGCCGAGUUCGAGCCUUCGGCAGCGCAACCCUUCGAUGAUCUCUGGGAGCGAAAGCUGACCUCGGUACAGCAAGUGAAAGAGGAAAUGCACAAAUUCAUUGCCGAACAGCUGCAAACUGGUCGUGUGCCAUUAUGUAUAAAUCCUCAGAGUGCCGCUUUCAAGAGUUUUGCCAGUAUCGUCAACAACAGCAAUAACAAUCAUCAGCCAUCACCAUCAUCAAAUUAUCAUCAACAGUAGCGUGUAAACGAAAGACACUUAGAAUGUCGCUAGGAGGCAGUGAGAUAGCACAGAACUACCAGCUGCAAAUAGACCAGAAAAAAAUAAACAGAAAACACACUUCCGCUAGUCUCUUCUCGGUCUAGAUCCACUACUACAACUAGCUAAAGAACUAAGAAUCAAUCGCUCGAGUGACUUUGAACGCGCUGCGGACUGGUUGCCCUAGCUCUACCGUAGCUCACCCAUCGGAGCUUCCUCCCUCUCCACAUCAGUGGGAAUGACACAAUGAAGCCAUGGCAGCCUGAAAUUUGUAAACUAUUGCAAUAAAUUUGCAGUAACGAUGACUCGACGCAACUCGGACAAAGCAUAAUUGGAAACAACAACAAAAACAAAAAACAAAAUAAAUCAUAAUUUGGGAGACAAAAAAAAAUUAGAAAACAUAUUUCAUAGCAUGAAAGUUACUAGUGCUAUAGCACCCACUACGAGCGGAUAACUACGAACCUAUUUGAAAGAACACUAGCCAGCAGACCAGGAGGAGGAAACACGAAUGAUAGACAAAUCUUAACCAAACCGGAGAACGACACUUUAAUCGAGAAGACUUACGCGCACCCGCGCGCGUACAUGCAACGCAACCGAAGGAGAAAUCCGGAGUAAGAUGCUAGUCGAUGCAUGCUGUAAUGCAUCCAUAAUGCAAGCUGAAAUAGUUUGCGCUUUCCAAGCUACCUUUACAGUAGGUAGCGGGCCCCGACAGUGGAGAACGAGGCGCAGUUUAUUAAUUAUGGCAAACGAGAGAGUAAGAAUGAAUAGUAAAAUUUCCUGCUACGAUAGCUGGGGGUCAUCAUCGUAUGGUGGAUGCAACCGCGCAGUGUUAAACGUAGAAAGUUUGUCUCGUGCAAAUAACAAAUCGUUAGCUCUAAUAAGUUACGCUAAAAGUCUUAUCACAAUAGAUGGUGAGAAACUAUGUUUGAGAAUAUUCCUUAUUGCAUCAAUUUCACUUUUUAGUUACAUGGCGAAAUGUGAUUGUGGAAGAAAUCAAAAGAAGAAAAAACAAGAUAUGGAGUAAAAUAUUCUACAUACAGUUUAUGAUAGAUCAGUUUUGCUCGGACUGGAAGAAAAUAAUGAGCUCGGUAUUCUACAAAGUAAUCCACAGACUAUGUUAGCGACGAAGAAACGAUAACUAGAGAGUCUGUAUGGUGAAACUGCUACAGAAUGUGUGUGGUUGAGUGUGUGUUUAUGUGUUUUUAUACACCAUGUUCGUUUGAAAGAUUUGUGUAUAAUGAAACAAAACAAAAAAAAAAUAAAAUAUUCAAAUCGCAUUUUUUCGGUUUUCCCGGUUUGUCUCGAUUGGGUUUUCUUUAAAGGAUGUGAGGGCGCUUGAUACGAAAAUUACACAAAAAUUGUGCUUGAUUUAAAUGAAACUAUGUAAAAGGCUUAGUUUUAAAAAUCUAUACUACCUUGUAUCAUGUUCUUGAUUUCCACCAAAACCAUUCGUUCCUAAUUUAAAGGUUAUCUACCUUUCAUGUACACCUGUAAAAAGCAUCUAAAUUUCUAAUCAACCACAGACAGGUUCGGUUGGAAAUAACCAUUUAGGAUACCAUCUACUCUCAGUUCGGCUCGUUUUAUUCAGUUACACAUACAUUUUUCCCCUUUCCAUUCUAAUUACAUUUUCUACAGUAAUGUAAACCUUUACAAGAUUCGUCGCAGAAACACGGAAGCGUUCCUGAUAUUCCGUUGUCCGUUGUUCCGUUCCAUCUGCAUUCGAAUGUUACCACAGUCGAACACCAAAUCUCUACUGACAUCUCUACAAACAUCAGCUUGUAGUGUGUGGCGCCAACCAAAACGAUUCAAGAAAUUGCGAACUUCACUUACGCGACGCAGCUGCUUCGUUACUUUGCAAUCAUCAAUCAUUAGUCAUCAGGCAAUAAUACAAUGUUUUUUUCAUUAAUGGUGUAUUCAAACCUAUCCGGUCCGAUUUAGUUCCGGUGCAGUUGUGAAUUAAUCUUGAGGUUUGAAAGUUUGCCUAGAUUAAUUGGUGAGCAUAUAGAAAAAUUCCAAUUUAAUAGUCUUUUAGUGCAUUAAUCGACAUAUGAGCUAUAUUUUCUUUCCGUAAUACCAAAACACAUAUGUCGUUUUCGUUUUGAAAUUGCACUACACCGGUGUAGGUAAGGUUGCAUUGAAACCGUUCGUUUUUACCAAUUGCACUACACCAGUGCUACACUUUUUCUGCACCGAUACCACUGGUGUAGCACUCAUCAAAAGUUUGGUGUAGCUCUGUGAAAUGGAACCGUUUAUUGUAGUCAAUGGUUACUGUUUAUGUUUUCGUCAUUUUUGUUCGUUUAUUCAUGCCUCCGUGUAGCACUGCACCGGUGUAGUGCAAAUUCCCGCAUAGCGUUUUGGCUACCUGGGCAGCCAUGGCCACCAGACGGCUACCAAAAUUGAUUCAGUGACGGUUGUCAAAUCCAAUUUGACAAAACAAAGUCGCCUGUAUCUAAGAGCAAAUUCAGCAACUGCAAGAUUCAUAUGGGUGGUCUAUAAUGUAAAUGAAACUGAAACAAACGUAUCCCCAGCAAUCCGUUUUAGUUUUAUUUAUUCGACCAGUUCUACUGUCAAAUUUAAAACUGGUAUACAUUGCCGUUCUAUUUUUUCUAUAUUUGAAACACAGAUGAAACGCAGCUGGGGCUGCCAGUUUAUUUUGUUAUAAUUUCUAGAUUUAAAUUUUAAAACUGACAUAAAUUAUGCAUCUAGAACUAGAACACUCCUGAAUAUGCCCUAAGUUAGCCGAGCGUUUUCAUUUUCUCGCUGAAAAUGUCAAAGAUUUCAAUGUGGAAAAAUCCUGGUGGAUACGGUUGUAUCGUUUGAGUUGUAUAUCUGGCAGCGGUGAGGCAGUCGGUGACCAGAAUGUCUGCCAGCUAUAUUUUUCCAGCUGGCAGCGUUUAGUCAGCCAUCUGGCAGCCAUGCGUAUGCGGGUUAAAAACGAAAACGCCAAUAGUUAGAGAUGUUAGCAGAGAUUUGUUGGUUUCUUCAUUUUUUUAUUCCAAAUUGAUAUGGAUACCAUUUUAAAGCCUUCUUCAAAAUUGUGGAUACACUGCUCUGCAAAGUGAGUAAGUGAGUUUUAUCAAUGAAAAAAAGCGAUAGUCGGAUGUGAUAAAGUCUGGAGAGUAUGGCGGAUGCGAUGAUAUUCCCCAAUCGAGUUCUUCUAAGUCGUUUUCGCUUGGUACCAAUCCUAAUCCAGUUAACACCCUAACUGUAUGUCAAACCGUUUCCUUUAAGCGAGUUCCGAACCUAACUUCAACGUCAUUGAACUAAAAAUUAAGACAGUUUCUAACCUGAUUGCGAUCCCAACUCAGUAUCGUGAAAAGUGUUUGUUUCAUUGAACUACCCUGGAUCAGUUUCAGUUUUCUCAAACGAAAUGGGAUUAAUGCAUGUUUUACUGGUUUGAGACGUUUCGUUUUCGAGCUGUGCGACGCAUCUUUUAAUGUUUUGGGUCGCAUUUCGGUGUUGAUAGAAAAGCUAAGGCAUGGUAUUACAUAUAUUAACCUUCUGUUUCAACAGACUUCGCAGUCGUUUCUUAGCAUACAUGGCUAGUGCUACGAUCCCACUACCACUAAACACCCUUCCAGGUAGGGACUCGAACAUGUGGCAACUGGUUUGUAUGUUUUAGAGUGUCCCAGUAAUCAAAUCCUAAGGUCGGUCUCUAUUUUAACCUACUGCAGCUCUUCCCAACCUGUGGUUCGCGGAACCCUGGGGUUGCGCGAAGUAGAUUUUCAUGGAAUUUUGCCAGCAAUUGUUUCUAGCCGUAUGUGUUGUUGUGUUUUAAGUCAAUAUAAUGAUCAUGUUGUCGUUUUCUCAAACUUGUGUGUCAUUUUCCGUUGAUACUAUUCAAUACUAGAUGUAAUAGAGAGUCAAUAUAUUUCUAGCACAAAAUUCAAAAUUUAAACGUGGAUGUUCGCGGAGAACUAAGGGGUCCGCAAAAUAACAAGGUUGGGAACCAUUGCUCUACUGCAGUUUCACAUUUCCGAGAUCCAAUCAAUUGUAUACCAAGAAGCGGAUUUUGUGUCUUUCGUUGUAUAUUAGCUAUUUGCCGCCGAUUUUGGAUACUUUUUUACAGUCGUUUUCAAAAGUUGUAAUUGAAUCCGACGGAUCAAAAUGUUUCCGUAAAUAUGACUUUGUCAGGACCCAGAAAUUUUCAAUUAGUCUGGCCUGGGGACAGUUUGGGGAAUUCAUCUCCUUGGAUAUGAAUUCGACUCUGUUGGCUUUGCAUCAGACUACCGCGACCUUCGCGUAUUGAAGUGAUGCAUAAUUUCCGACAAAAAUAGUGCUGGAUUCUGAUGUUUUCGGAUCAUAGGGAGCAGGUGCCACUGCAAGCAUUCCCGAACGUGAACAUACGAUAUCAUCGUAUCCGUUGCCAUAAAUGGGUUCAAAUUACUUGCCAAACCAUGACUUUUUUUUAAUAAUUUUUUCUGUAAAAAUCGACUUACCGGUAUAUUUUUGUCCAGCACGGACCGUCUUUCGGAAUUAUCAUACAUUCAAACUUCACGCUUACCCAUGUCCCUCACACAGGGUGACAAGUGGAAUUUGGUUUCACAGGGAAAAAGCCGGGAAUUUUAGUGUAAAACCUAGAAAAAUAUAACUAGCUCAAAUAUGAAAGGUUGCAGGCAACACCCACUUUUGCGUUUGAGCGAGAAGUUCAGCAGCAAUUGUCCAAUACAGGUUCUAUGUUGAACUAUCCAUUGGAAAUUGGUCCAACACCCCAUGUAUCGUCCAAUGAUUUUUUUAAGGGUUUAAAAGCCGUUUUGAAUCAAUCAGAAAGAAGCAGAACUUUUCUUUAACUUUACUAAUGAUUGCCCUAGUUGCAUCAUAAUUUGUCCCAGUAAUGUCACAUUGUAUUUGCUCAUAUUCGUGUGAGAUAUUGAUUUCAACAGGACCCACAAAAUUGAAAAAGUUGUCGACUUUGACAUUAUCAGCCGUCGGCAGGGAGCGCUGAAAAAACUAUGUUUAAUUUCCCAAAACAAUUUCAGGGUUCACAUUGCUUCCGGUAUAAGAUCUGUAUACUAGAUGAUUACUUCUAAAGUGGUAGAAUACAGAACUAAUUGAAUUAAUCAUUGCUUUAUUUGUAAUCCUGAGUAUUGUUAAUAGAUGAUCUGAUUCGAAGUAUAUUUGAGUAAUCCAUUCACUACAAAUGUUACAUUAAUCUGCUAGAUCCAAAUCAAUUGUAAAAGCAUUUCCCCUAUAAGAUAAACUAGUCGGGGCUAUUUGGAACUAAAAUUGGUUAAAAAUCAGCAAAGAGUUCAUUAUGAAGAACCAGUUUUUUGCUGGUCAUUUUCAGGUUAUCCCACGGGAGAUCCUAAGCAUUCAGAAAAAAAAGAUCGAUGCCUUAUGCGUUUUUGGAAAUUUCAUUUGAUUUAUUUGCUCGCCAACGCGCGCAAGCGACUACGAAUCUCUUAUAUUUCACGACGCUUGUGACGUAUGCAAUAUCCUGCAGUUUACAAACUAGCGUUCACUACACUGACCUUUCCACUGCUUUUGGCAAAAUUAACCACGUCAUUACAGUCACUUUGGAUAGAUUGGGUUUUGGUUCUAACAUGCGUUGGAUCCAUCUGAGAUUCCAUAAGGCAAGGUCUAGAACCUUUAUCUUUCCUCCUGUAUUCCAACGAUGUGAAUCUUUGUCCACGAUUAUUUUUCGCUGAAGCAACGAGGCAGUCAAUUCUGUUCUACACCAACUAAAAAUUUUUUCAAAGAGAUGUUAGGUAAAUCGAAUGGCUUUGAACGUUGACAAAUGCUCAAUGAUCACAUUCACGCAAGAAAAGUUCCUAUAAGAUACAGCUACUGCCUUGGUCUCUAUAAGGUUCAUUCAUUCGUACAACGCUCCAGUACUGCUCUACGAUAUGGAACCCAUAUUAUUUUAACGGUGCCCAUCGACUAGAAUCAGUACAGCGAAGAUUCGUUCGAUUUGCUGUUCGACAGCUACCUUGGAAUAACCCUUACGAGCUGCAUUGCUACGAAAGCCGUGGAUUAUUGAUUGGACUCGACACUCUUGGGAUUCGACGUGAUUCGCCAUCAUAUUGAACAACGAAAUAGAAUGCCCUGCACUCCUUAGUAAAAUUUUUAUUUUGAGAUGAGACUUUAAUUUUUUUGUCGAGCAUUACUUUCUAGAUAAUUGAAUUUAGGGAUUCUAUCAAUAAAACACAAUCGGUUCAUCCGAUUUCAAAAAUUAUUUUUUGAUAUUAAAGUACAAUCCUUCCGGUUAAUUGUGGAAUAUAAUUUCAUUCAAAUGACUGCCUCAGCUGACCUUGCAGUACGCCAUACGGUCGGUCCAGUUUUUAGUACAUUUUCGAUUGUAAGCAGCUUUAUUUCAGCUAUGGCUGCACGAAUGUUGUCCUUCAAGGCUUGAAUUGACUCUAGCUUGUCCACAUAACACUUAUCUUUGACAGCCCUCCAAAGAUAAUAGUCUAAUGGCGUCAAUCACAGCUCCGAGGUGGCCAAACGACAUCCGAAUUUCGACUGAUAAUUCGAUCUUCGAAGACUGUGCGCAGAAGAUCGAUGUGUGGCACGGAGCGCUGUCUUGUUGGAACCAAAUGGUGUCCAAGUCUUCCUCUUCAAGCAACGGGACGAACCAAUAGCUAAUCAUGGCGCGGUAGCGCUCGCCAUUGACCGUGGCGGCAGCUCGUGCCUCAUUUUCGAAGAAAAAUGGCCCAAUGAUGCCGCGAGACCAAAAUCCGUACCAAACCGUCACUCUCUGAGGAUGCAUCGGCUUCUCCAUGAUAACGUGCGGGUUUUUCGUCCCCCCGAUGCGACAAUUUUGCUUAUUAACAUACUUGCCGAGAUGAAAAUGUGCCUCAUCCAAGAAGAUGAUUUGUUGGCAAAAAUCGGCGUCUCCUUCAAGCUGAUCGCAAGCCCAGUUGGCAGUACUUUCACGCGUUCUUCAAGAGUAUACACAACCAUUUUCGUUCAGCGGAAGGAUAAAACUAAGUUUCUGUCAAAUCAGAAGAGACAUUAAGGUUACCAAUGUCGAAAUAACCGCUAGUUAAAAAAAUGUUAAAUGGCGGACUCUGUAGACGUUAUCCGUCGGGCUAACUCAAAAGUGGGCAGAGCCCAUAUGGGACUGAUAUGCGACUAUGGGCAGUAGAUAUGUAACGAACAUUUGUACAAAAACGUAGCUAUAAUCGAAAGAGAAUCUGUCAAUUGCUUUAGGCCCUUUUGAAUGUCGGCCCUUUAUGUCGAUAUCUAAUUCAUUUCGAUUCUAACACCAUCUUAACUCGUAGUGAGUAGCUGAAAUUUUCUUCUGUGCCUCUUACUUUCAUGUACUUUGGCGCAUUGAUUCCACAUCCGAUCCGCCUAGCUUCAGUUUUAAGUCCGAUGUACGUCUCCUCUAUCUUCUCAAAGUUACGUGCUAUAAUACUAUAAUCACCCUCCAAAGCAAUGUUGAUUUGCUAACACCAAAUGCCAUCACCAUGCCGUAACCAUCCAGUGCAUCCCUGAUACUCGACCACGAUGCUUCGGUCAUCGGUUCAUCGUAUCAGUUCGGCCGGAAAUUUGUAAUCGUGCAAAGGCUGAUAUGAAAUCGAUGAACAUUUGUUUGGGAUCCCUUAUAUGAAACAUCAAAAAUAACUACUACUCUUGACCAGUUUACAAGUGCUAAGUAAUGAUAAUAAUAAAGGGAAGCAUCCGCACUGACCUUGUCCGGCGGUAUCGGACAUCGCUUCCAAACUAUAUAGCAGGUUCUACAGUGUAGUAUAUAGUGAAAAUUAUAGGUUGUUCCAAGGCGAUCUCAGGUUGUACAACGUUGGGCAUCUUCUUCUCUCUCACUAUUUCUACUACAGGUUCAGCCAACUGUCCUCUAGCGUGUUCAAUAAGUCUUCCGAAUCUGUGCUGGGUUCGCGCUUAGCAACCGGAGUGUGAGCAAACCCGAUAUAAGACUCAGGUUCGAAACUGAUUCGAAUUUCUGUUCAAUAACGUUGGAACUAGGUCCAAAACUAGCUUCAAACAAACGCUGAUAAAUAUAGACGGUUUGAUAGCAGUUAGGGUGGAAACUGGGUUAGGUUUGGCAUCAAGCGAAAACAACAAUAGAGACAUUUUUCGAUUCCACAUUCUGUAGAUGCCACCGAAAGAUUAUUUACGUUGAGUGGAGGUCGGUUGUAUUUGUUUGUCGCAAUUUGGAAUCACCGAAGUCUCGAUGAAGAAUAUCGAAUUUUAAAUUAGUGCACAAGGUCGUUACAAACCGUACAAGUGAGCAGCUUUCUGAACUAAAAGCCAUAAUUAUAUUUUUUGAUAGUUACUUCAAAACCUUGACGUCAAGGUGUCCCAGUGGGUAGAUAUCCAAACUAAAACAAACAAUUUCAAAAAAGGCUUUGCGGAAGAUUUUGCUCGCAAUAAAUACCAUAGCAUACUAGUUCGAAAGCAAGUUUUCUCAAGGAUAAAAUAAAAAUAGGAGCAUUCGCUUCGAGUUUUCGCGUUGCUAUAACAACAGUAUUACACUAUUUUUAAUGCGGUAUUUCUUGGUGCCGAAGCAAAGAUAUUAAGCCUUAUUACCGGUAUCACUUCAUGAUGGAAAUCAAGUAAAGUGAAUGUACGUCCUUAUUAUGGAAGUCGCUUCAGAUUACGGAAGUUGCUUACCAACAUUUUGUUAAAAAACAGAUUUUGUUCACUACAACGAUCGCUACAUUGUGCGCGAUACUUAGUUAUAGGUAAAAUCAAGUGAAGUGGAAGUGAGAACGGUAAUAAGGACCAUUGUAUCCGAUCUCAUGAUAACUCGUUGAUUGAAAGUCGAGUAAUCGGAAUUUAACAUGGCGGCUCUACUCAUGAGAACACGAACACGAACUAUAUUGUGCCUCUAAAAAAACACGUGAUAUACUGUGAGUCUAAGUGUGCCACGCUGUUCCCCAUGAAACAGUUACUUGUCAAAACUGAGCCCUUUGUGUGCCGCAACUGUGCAACUGUAUGAAAACGAAAGUGCCAAUAUUGAUAAAUGCGCCAACGCAUUGUGUUAAUGUGUGAUUGGCACAUUGUUCUAAGCGUCCUCCCCUUGGCAAAUAAUCAAUUGCUUGCUGUCUCUCUCUUUUCAGCUAUACGCCACUCUCCUAAAAUCAGCGAAAAGCGAUGAGAACUUUUCCUGUUAUCAAAAAAAAAACGUAUUCACAGAUUCCUUUGAAAUGACAACGAUUUGAAUAUUUUGUAAUGCUUGUAAUCUUCCUAACAUCUUUUAAUCACACCAUACUGAAGUUUGGUAUCCAAUUUUUAAACGAAAUCUAGCAAAUGGAAGCAGAUUUCUUUGGCAACUGUUUGUUAAUAUUCAUAUAAUUAAAUUUCACACCUUAGUUAACGUCUAAGCCGAAUAUACAAUCAUGAAAGCAGGUAUUAGUUUGAAGAAAAAAAAAACACAAUCGAGACACUGGUAACCGAUAAACGCGAUCAAACCAGAUGUGUAAUUAAAAAAAGCAGAAAAAACUACAAUAAAGAACUGAUUUACGUCCCAAAAGGGAUGUUAGAGAAAAAAGAAUUGUGUAUAUUAUGUUUUCGAGUUCUGGUUAAAUUACUAUUAGCUAACCCAACUUUAGGUUACACAACAACCCAAAACUUGUAAAUAAUUCAUUUAGCAUAUUGAUUUCAUGCCGAUUAGGUUUUGAUUUUAGUUCAUUUACGAAACAAAAUAUUGCAAUUAUAUUUCCAUGUGCUUUGUACUACUCUCUAGUUAUUCUGACUACACAUCAACGAACAACUUGAGGACUGUGUUUAUGCUGCAGCAGCUCAUACUUUACUAAUCUUUAUUUCCUACAUGCAGUCCCAAACGACAUCUGAACCUUUUUAUUUUCUGUGUGACAACAAAGCUUGAAAUAAAUUCAAUAAAAUGUAAGAAAGUGACGUGCGGAGCAACCAGAAGAAAUGCAGCCAAACAAAAGAAGAAGUAAAAAAUGAUAUGAUAAAUAAAAUCUUUCACAGAGAUCUCAUUAAUUUCUCGUCGGAUUGUAGAGUUAGUUUUGUUCGUCUCGGCCGCCCGAGUAACGGCGAUGAUGCAAAAAAAAUCCACCACAUCAACUGGUUGGCGGUCAUACGAAUGCUAAAUGAAUUAUAGCUGUUAAGUUCUAUUCGUCGCGUUUACUAGUAAGCUUUGCGCCUUGCGUUGCUAAAGGAUUGUCGCUCGCGGAACUGAACGAGAAGCGAGAUCAGCUAAGGGAAAGACGUUCAACAAGUUCGAACCUAGAGUGGUACGAGAAUGAGACGCACGCCUGGUGUACUAGACAGACAGAUUGUAUAUACUAUCAGCAGGACACAGCAAGAAAAAAUAUGAUAAUGAGCGCAGUUUGGGCAUCAUUGGUAGGAAACUAGGAUUCAGUGUCCGGCUCAACCUGAGCAUUUUGGACCGCAAGCAAAGUCCCAAGCCAACUGUUAGUUUGAUAUGAUUAAAAUAAACUAAACUGGUGUGAUUCAGACGUAAGCAACUAUUGUGUAAUGCAACAUUUUAGAUUAAUUUGUGAGCCAAGUGUAGUAUUUGAACGUUGGGACAAAACGAAAAAAAAAAAAAACAAACAGUAACUAAUGAUGUAAGUAGCUUUAUCGCACACGGAGCGAGGAAAACAGUGUCUGCGUACAUAUUUGUAGCCAAGACACAAGCAUUUUAUAGCAAAAGUUAAGCCAUGAUGAUGGUGCUGCGAUCGCCCAGCAAAACAGAAUCGUGUCUCUCAACGUCGAAUAAAAAAAAUACAUGAAACAAGACUUGAUUUAGAUUCAUUUUACGUAGCCUAGUUUGUUGGUUUCCAACGAGACUUUAUAACUUUAGUUUGUAUCGAUGUAAGAUACCCAAAGCUCAUUUUUAAUUUGAGUUCUAUUUUAAGAGAGAUAUGAGACACCGAAGAGACCGCCAAUUAGGCGGAGCUAUAAUUUGGCGAUUUUUUCGCUAUGAUUACAAAAAAAAAACAAAAAUUCUAGCGCUUGAAACUUAUCAUUGUGACUACAUUUAGUGUACUAUUGCUCGAAACCAUCAACAAUACAAGAGCAUAUAGUAUCCAAACUGAAAAUAGGAAAGAUCAAGCAAAAUGCCAACGAUAACACUGAAGACAGAACGAUACUUUUUAGUUGUAAGUGGUAAAUCUGUGUAAUUAGAAGAAAAUGUAAAAUUUUUGUAAAAAAAAUAGAAAAUGAAAACGCACUUAAACAAGACAGAAAAUAUUCUCGUUUUUUUUAUUUUUGCUUCUUAUUUCGCUUGUGGUUUUUUAUUUAUUUGUGACUCCUUUCGUUUUUUUUUUCUUCUGGGUUAUUAUCUGUUCGUUGUAUGUUUAAAGAUGAUUUCAACUGUUAUAAUUCCUAUGAUUUGUAUUCUUGUUCAAUUAUUUGCAUUAUUGAAACACAUUUUGAAACAAUGUCGAAUUUUAGCAGUGUAGUGGGCCGACGCCAGAUCCGGCCAGAACACCGCAUCUUUGACCCUAUGGUAUUUCUUGAUGACCGACGUUCCUACUAUAAAUUUCCUGCGGUGCUAAAGAAAAGCAGCUUUGACAUCCCAUUCUCGCUGACUGGUAGCCACAGCAACACCUUUGGGAACUUGGUGUGUGCAAUAAGCUUCACCUAGGAACUCACUUCUUUCGUGGGGUAUGAAAAAUACGGAGUGCCUUGCCAGUCGUUCGUGGCAAGAUAGAUCUCGUCGUCCAUCACGUUGCGAUUCGCCGGGAAAAUUGAAUUGAUCACCUUAUUCGCUGCGGCUUUCUUUCGAUGCUCUGAUUGUUGUCUAAUAGUACCAAGAUGUUAUAGAUACCGGAACGGGCGUAUCGGGUGUUCACAAAGUGCCGCUGUGCCGAUUUCUAUUCUCGAAGCGACGGGGUGCCGUUCUUUGAACACGCACACUUCUGAACGGAGUUGCUUCACUGUUUUUGCCAUCACGAGUUCGACUGAUAGAGUUGUCAGUUUUUGUCUGCUGACUCGGGUAACCAUGAUUGAUGCUGCAUGGGUAAUUUCCUCAGUGCGGAUGAAGGUAAACCCAUGAAACAUUGGCAAUCUUCGUCCAUUUUUAUAAACUACAUUAUCACCCCGAUACGAACGAGUCUACACUCUCCUUCGAGUUCGAAUUUUGCAUUCUUUAUUUCGUUUGACUUGUAUGAUUCGAUCGACUCUCGUUCGGGAACACUUGAAAUUUCGAACACUAACUAUCAAAGCUGUCAACACUACUUACACUACUUCUUUUUAUAUUAUUCAUUUCUUAAUAAACGAAACCGUCACACUUGUAUAAACAAAUUAGAACGAUUCUAAACCGAACAGAAGUAAUUCGUACGCAAGUCAAUCAAGUAAUGUUCGAAAAUUGAACAACUCGAACGGAAUGCAGAAUGGAAAUUGCACAAUAUUUCGAAUCGAUCGACGUACAGAAUAGGGGUGUAUAACAACCGAAACAUAAAAGUUCGUUCAUCUACGGACAAAAGCCAACUAGUGAAAAUACAGCACCUGUCGGGAAAAUAACCAGAGAAUAGUCAAUGACAAAUAAAAGAAUCUGAUUUCAAGUCUCGGGUAAUUUUUCAAAAGGGCGUAUAAGCAAGUGGCAGUUUAUCUUUGUUUACUUUCUCUUCUAUUAAUUACCAAGCGGUUUCCACGUUUAUCACUCAACUCGUUGCAUGAAAUGAUACCCGAAAAAUUCGACUUUAAAACAGAAUAGUGAUAUCAAAGAAAAUCUUUUUAAUCACAUCACAAUAAUCGAAAGAGAGAGUGAUUAAAGAGAAACUGUCACUUGCUUAUACGCCCUUUUGAAAAAUUAACCGAGAAGUUAGAAACAAGCAAACACAGUAAAGGCAAUUUUAGUUCAAAAAUAACUUUUUGCCUUUCUCAUAUAGAAAGGUUAUGCAAAACCGACUUUUAAACCGAGGCCGAGUGUCAUAUACCAUUCGACUCAGUUCGUCGAGUACGCAAAAUGCCUGUAUGUGUGUGUGUGUGUGUGACGUUUUUUGCGCUAACUUUUCUCGGAGAUGGCUGAACCGAUUUUCACUUAGAUUCAAAUGAAAGGUCUUGUGGUCCCAUACAAAAUUCCUGAAUAUUAUUUGGAUCCGAUUUCCGGUUCCGAAGUUAUGGAGUAAAAUAUGCAACAAAAUGAAAAUAUUUGGUCUAACUUUUCUCAUAGAUGGCGCCACCGAUUUUCACAAACUAAGGUUCAAAUGAAAGGUCCUAUGGUCGUAAUUCCUGAAUUUCAUCCGGAUCCAACUUCCGGAUCCGGAAAUAUAGGGUAAAGUGUGUUAUAACUUUUAUACCAUCACUGAAAAAGGGCGAAAAACCGUAAACCGUUUUCUAAAUCGACCUCAAAACUUCUCCAAUUGAUAGCUUUUAUCAGUAGACGGUCAAACAAACUGAUUUCGGUUAUUCUUUUAAGAAUUAAUUAAUAAUAAUUAAUUUGAAAAAUGCCACAGUUUUAUAUAUGAUAGUAUGAUUGAUACGAGAAAGGCAUCAUUACACCACUAGGUGGAUUAAAACAGGUUUUGUGUUUUGAAUAGUUCAGUUGUGCCGUAAUGACAAGAAGUAAGGCCGGGAGAAAAACCCGGAACAAGUGUGUUUCUUCCAAACUUGCUAGAGGCAUUUCAGCAAACAUUCUUUCGCAAAAAAAAUCAGUGCCUGUUGUCAAAAAAACUUCGCUUUUAAUCUACAUGUUUAAAUUGCCUGCCAAACCAAGUUUUUUCGGGGAACUUUAAGAAAAAAUGUCUGCCUAAGGACAUUCCGUCUAUUCAUCACCGAAUCCGAAAAAAAUCGAAGGAUUAACUGUUAACUCAUUUACACUAACAUAUUAUUAUUCGGACUUGUUAUAUCCAUGUGCUAUAAUUUCACGUUUGAUUCAACGCAAUCAAUUCUGCACAGAUGUGGAACUUUUGGUUGCUUGGGUUUUUUCGAUGUAUUUAUCUCAGGCCUUCGCAUAAUUUACCUGUGGUUUCGGUUCCCAUAAGUUUCGAUUCACAAUGAUACAACAUUUUUCUAUUGGAAAAAGUUGUGGGGUGGUUGAAGGAAUGCAGUGCUUUGGUAUACUAUUGGUGUUGUUUUUUGAAUAAAUAACACUUCUGAGCCACUUCGCCAUAAUGACAGGGCACCAAAUCAGAGAAAAUAUUAUUAUUAUUAUUAAUAUCAUUUAUUUUACCCCGGUUUUAACCUUUUGGUCGUUCACUGGGAACAAAAAUUGUAAUAAAAUUUGAUUUUCAAAACUUUUUUUUCAUUUUAGUUCAAAUUUGAAUAGUGAGUUCGAGGAAAAAAGAUACUGUAUGGGCCGCGAAAAGCGUCCUCGCAGGUAAAUCAGCCGGUGUUUUCGGUCCUUAGUUUUGAUGAGGUGUUGGCCCGGAUAGUCCAGCGGAUGACCCGUGGUUACGAGGUUCCUCCUAUUGAUGGCGUUUGAACGCUGCACAUGGUCAGAACAAAACAACACAGAACUCGUAUGCAUUUGAAUGAAUGAUCGUAACCAUUUUUGAAGACAAUUGUUGACGUAAAAUUUUUGGUUAAAUGUACCUGUAGUUUUGAAGACUGACAAAUUUCAACUACAGGUUAUGGCCCACAGCCUUAGAAGUUCGUUCGGUUGUGACGCGUGGACUCUCAAGCAAAGCAAUGUCUUGGCAUAACAUUCCUUUUGUGGAAUUUGACCAUUCUGUUUUCACAGACUUCGCAGCCGAUCCAAUUGACAUUAAAAAACUUUCCAGAUCGGGGUUCAAACAAACUAGAGAUGGGGAGUUCGCUCCUGAGCUGUUCCAGUGAAUUGAAUCAUUAAAGGACUAUUCACACAGUUCAGUUCCGUUACGGUUCAGUGAAAGUGCUUUCAGUGCGCCGUCAGUGUUCUUUUUUUGCCGGAACCCUUCCGUUCCGUUUCCGUGCCGCUUCUGUUCCGGCACAGCAAAUGCAGUGACAUACCGACUUCAGUGAACAUAAAAAUAUAUCGGUGAGGACGAAUUUGAGUUUGCCGGACGGACGCUACACUGAUGGCGAGCUGCAUUGAAACGACACGGUGCCGGAUAGGUAUGAAUGCGCACAUAGAAAACGAAUGAAAUAAUAUCAGUAUCCGUGCACGGGUUGAUCUAUUUUAGAUCUGCGACUAAACCAUGUCAAUCGCAACGCUGAGAUCUAGUUCUAUUUUUCGAGCACAAAUUUGAAACAGAUUUCAAACUGCUCGACGAAUUUGUUUCAAAUUAAUUACAAUUUGAAACACAAAUAGAACACUGUUUUAAAUUUCUUACGUGAGUGUGGGUCGCGAGAUUCGACAGACGAAAUGUCAAAGAGUCGAAUGACAUAUCAGAAAUUGUCAAUAUAAGCAGGAAAUAUUCUGCACUGAAUAAUACAGUAUAAUUUAGAAGCACUGUAGCUCACUAUCAUCCAGAAAUUUUCUCUAGAAGUUCGCGACAAAACUUUAUAUCGUUUUCGAAAUCAUUUAUUUUAUUUGUUUGUUUCUGAUUGAGAUUUAAAUUUUGUAACUGACAUAAAUUAUGCAUCUAGAACUAGAACAUUCCUGAUCAUGUCCUAACCUUACAAAAAUGAACAAAAUGAAUCAAUUUUGACAGCUAUCAGUGGCUUGUUUAUGUGUUCAUUGCGUUCAUUCUAAUUUGAAUACGUUGUAAUCAGCCAUUUGACACCGGUAUGUGAGCACCAGCCAUUUGAAAGUAUACCGAUUACGUUGAGCCCCAAAACAAUGCGAUGUUUUGAUACUCAUCGCGAUUCUCAAAUUGUGAAAAUUAUCAUCACUUGAUGUCCCAAAACACUGUUUGCUGUAUUUUAGGUCAACUGUUAAGUUAUUGUGAGAGAGUCGAUACAAAAUUCACUAAUUUUCGUGCACUAAACAAGGUAAACGCGUAAAACAAAUGCAUUACUGUUUGUUUGUUUACGUUGCAAUCAGCUGAUUUUGAAGUUCCGAUUUUGAUCCGGUUGUAAUAUAUAUAAACAACCAAUGAUAGCUGUCGAAAGAAAAACUUGAUUCAUCGGUAGUUCAUUCGAGUGGCCAUCGUGCAAAAACUAAUCCUGUGGAUGUACUCCGUAAGCUGAUUAAGUCAAAUUAUUCCCUUUUAUGUAAACUUUCAGAGGGGUUAAAAUCUGCUUUCACAUUUGUUUCAACAUCCAUUUGUCAUUUUCAGUCACAUAUCGGAUUUGAGGAUCGCAGAUUUUGAACCAGAACAUCCACUUUCUUAUUACUUAAAAGUACUCGCGGAACUUUUGAAACUUUGAAGGUACAGAAAAAGUUCCGCGUAAACUUUCUCGUUGCUUAAGAAAACACAUGGUAAUUUUUGACAGUUCGAAGAGCAAAACACGUUCCGCGUGAAGUUUCUCGCUGCCUAAGGGAACGUGUGGUACUUUUGGCAACUUGAAAGUACAGAACAACUUCCUUGUGGACUUUCUCGCUGCAUAGAAGCUGAACAAUGUCCACUGGAAAUAAUUUGAACGCUAUCAUCAUGUUCAAAGCAUUUGAACUAUCACUACAUGUAGAACACAUGAAAUUUAUGAAAAUUUAAACUAAACUCAUAAAACAUGUGUGAAAACUGUUAAUAUUUAGUGGGAAUCAUGCAACAUUUAUCUGAAAUGCACAUCACAAAGGAUAACGAUACCUCUCAAUUCUAUAUGAAUGUCACGUUGUUUUCCAUAUAGAUUUCAAUUGAAACACGAUUGACCGAAUCAAGUGUUUUGCACAUACAUUUGUGCUGUACUAAUAUCCACUAGAAAAUGAAGUGUUUAACACAUUUCGUUCAAUUCAAUAGCAAAAUACAUCACAUCUAAAGGAAAAACACAUCAAAGCAAAGUGAAAAACAAUAUAAUCUUGCAUCUUAUUGAAUUUGCACAUGAAAUCUUAAAACUAUUCGUUUUGAUUAUGUAUUGAAAUGGAAAAGCAUAUUAAAUUGAAGUGCUAUUUACAUAUGAAUCGAUCGUGCAAAUUUUUUUCAGUGUAAUCCAUAGAAGCAACUUAGGCUGUGAACCAUUUCGCGGUUAAUUUUCACUUUUGGUUAAAAUCUGACACUUAUGUGGUUAUUUUGUAUCGGGUAGUUAAAUUUAACUACAACUGCGGCCCAUUUCAAAGUUUUACGGGUGGAAAGUUAUUUGGGUUUAUUUUGCACUGGAAAUAAUUUUGACUAAAGAAUUAAUAUUAGAAUUUUCUUUGCAAAAUUUUUUUCAGUGUCGGAAAAUAGCCAUCGAUCUGUCAAAAAUAAACCAUGCUUUCGAGCAGGGUUAUUUUUGACAACAUCAAAAUAACCACUAGAGUGUCACAUUUCAACCAUAAAUUAAAAUUAAUAACAAAAUGGUUCACAGCCAGCGAUGCCAACCCUACGGAUUUAUCCGUAGAUCUACGGAUUUCUGUCCUUUCUACGAAUCUACGGAUAGACCACUCAAAGUCUACGGAUUUAACAUAAUUUCUUCAAAAAAUUAUUGACUUUUCAUUUUUUAUUAUUUCUCUAGAUAUCUAAGAAAAAUAAUUGAAUAUUGUCACAUCGUUGUUAGAGAUAUAUUUUUUUUCCUCGUGUCUAUUUAUCAAACAUCUAUCAUCACCGAUUACUCAUUUUUAGACGUUUGUCUUUAUCGCUUAGAAUUUCAAACUGUUAAUUUGUCGUACCUUUUGAUUUAUUUUUCUCGUAUUUGGAAAUUACUAAUUUUCAUUCUAAGCAUUUAGACGCAUUUAGUAAAUUGUUUUGUCUUUAUUGGGAAGGAUGAUUUGUCAGGCGAAAGAGUUUCGCUAGAAAAGUUCGUCUCAAUGGAGCCAAAUCUACGGAUUUGAUCUCAGGUUGCAUCGCGCGAAUUUUGGAAAGUGUGAAUAAUUACUUCAAAACGGGCUGCUUAGAUUUCUAUUCAUGACUUCGUAAGGGCAUAUUCAGUAGUGUUCUAGUUCUAAAUGCAUAAUUUAUGUCAGUUACAAAAUUAAAAUCUGGAUUUUAUAACAAGAAAGACUGACAGCCCCAGCAGUGUUUUACUCGUGUUUCAAAUAUACAAAAAAUAGAACGGAAUCGUAGACCAAUUUUAAAUUUGACAAAAGAACUGGUCGAAUAAAUAAAACUGGAACAGCUUGCUGGGGAUACGUUUGUUCUAGUUUCUGCUCUAUUAUAGAUCUUCCAUAUAGAACUUCUAGUUGCUGAAUUGGUUCUAAGCUGCUUAAACCAAAUCAGUUCUUUUAAUCCGAACUUGUAUUUCGUGGGGUACGCAUAAUAAAUGUUAUGAGGUUACACAAAUGGUAAUUUUGACUGAACAGAAUGACAGAACGAUGAAAGCGAUUGUUAGAAGCAGUCCAUAAAACUAGUAGCCAGGGAGAUUUGUAUCUCAUCAAUGAUUGUUACUACGUAUGCAUUUAAAUGUUACCUAAAUUUACGUAAAAUUAUACGACUUCAGUACCGUACAUUUCUGUUAAGGUAAUUUAUUUAUGCACACGUGUUUUUUUUGUAUAUAACCUGCAACUUGUUUUUUUUUUGCAUAUGAGUUUAUUUUUUCUAUAAUAAUAAGUUACUGCUGAAAUUUUUGAAAGGAUUACAAUUUUCUUCCAUUCUAUCACGAUACACUAAGCCAGAUGAAUAGAUCGAGCACGCAACAUGUUGGGUAUCAAAAUAAAAUGCUUAAACUAAGAACCAAAGUAGAACAAUAACUUAAAUUAUGACAGGAGCACAAAUAAACUCUACCUAGUGUAUGUAAGCCACAUUUAACAGUUUACUGAUCACAGCCACUGAAGUAACAGUAUCGAUUCCGGAUAAUGCUGGCCAUUUCUAGAACGGUACAAUCGGAACCAAUAACAAUGCAACUAAUGUUAAUGUUCAGUCAAAAGUAUCCUAAUAUUGGAAGAAUUGCACAGUAGUGGACGCCAAAUCUACAGUAUACAGCACAUUAUAGGUUUCUGAAAAGGGUAAAUGCGCCUGUUUAUAGCAAACAAUGACUGAUUAUUUUUGAACAGCGAUGUCCAACAUUAGACAGCAUGGAGACUAUCGCAAUACAGCAAUAUACACCCAGCUAACAGUGUCCGCAUUGUUGUUCCAUUGUAGAAAUAAACAAUACGAUUUGUAAAUAUGAAAUGAAAAAAUCAAUUCAUUUUCCACAGCAAAAAACCAGAAACAUGCAUUUAGAGUUAGUGAUAAAAAAAUGCAAAGAUAAUGUUGCAACCAUCAAACAAUAAUUAUGUGUAAGAUUAAACGAUAAUUAUUUUUAAGUAGCGACGCUUGUCGACUGAUAUCCUGAACAGAUUGAAAUUGAAUAUUUUUUCUAUCGCAUCAAAUUUAAAGUGUUGUUUAUGUAAAUCGAAUGGAUGCAAAACUAUCUAUAUAACCGGUAUCUUACCAUUUGUUUAAAAAUCUAUAUCAAUCCUCAAACGAUUCAACUAAUUAAUCACAAAUCGAACUGGAUCUGAUUAAUGCGUUAAUUGAAAGAAUGCAAAGAUAACCCGAAAAACGCGAAACACAUAUAAAAGUCAUAGUAGAAAUAAUACAGCUUUUGAAUGUGAUAACCUAAGCAAAAGGUAAAGUAAAUAGAUAACUGUAACCAUGGUUGCAAAUAGUGUUCUGUCUAAGUACGAUAAAUAGUAUCCGACUGUACUGGCACCAAAUCUCCGUAGUAUAACUGUUCACACUAACAACUAACUAAUACUCUGUUAUCCUCAUAACUCAACAGACUGAAAAUACCAAAAUAAAAAAAAGUCUGUAUUUAGCUCUGACAUCUUUGACAAAAGCAACGAGACCACAUUUUUCCAAACAGUCAAAUAUCGUUACUACAGUUACUAUAGCGAUGAAGCGGUAUCCUCUGAACGCACGGUUUCAAAACAAUCAGCCAAAUCAUGAGAAGAAACAGUGGAAACGAAACGUUAUUUCACACCAUUCGUUCAUCAAUACAUACAAAAUACACAGACACCACAUACCGACAUAAUGAAAAUAAUUGAGCCAUAAAUCCGGUUUUAUAUACAAGUUAUAGUUACACACUUUUCAAAGUUCAGUUCCACACCGAACGAAGUAAUCCCGAUACAGUUGGAGGAUCUGUUAGCAAAAAACUUAAAUAACACAAACCAACUACAACAACAAAAACUAAGUAAAAUAUGUAUAUAACAGCACCAAGAUAAGCCUUUGACAAAAGUAUGUUUGAAGAAUGUUAGUUAAAAAUCAGUAGCAACAGAGCAAUUUAUUAAACAUUGGGAAAGAAAACAUAAAAACAUGUAACCGACGAAACAUUUGGAAUUUGAACAAAACGCACGUGUUUGCAGCCUAAAAUUUAGUACUCAACUGUUUCGACAAUUGAGAAAAAGUAUGGUAAACCAAAACAAAAACCAUGUAUAGCACGUAAAAUCUGUAAAAGUAAUGAUUGGUAGAGGAAAAAUUAAGUAAUUUGAAACUUGCCAACAAAAGUCGCUGAAAAAGAAAACAAACAGACAUUUGCUGUUUUAGCUGGGAAGUAAAUUAAUCCUGGUUCUACAACACAAUUUCAGGAACUAUUGUAAUGACUUUGUGUGAUGAUGAGAAGAGAUGAUAUAUAAAAUUAUAACAGUCAAAUCACUUGUAAAUAAAUGUACAUUGUAGUGAUUGUGGAAACAAAUGACAGCAUAAAUAAAGAGUCAUUGUAUAAAUUGUAGAA
Malaya genurostris is the source of this 23173-nucleotide RNA transcript. It is a transcript of the gene named serine/threonine-protein kinase NLK, with no coding region annotated. NCBI's taxonomy places the organism in Eukaryota, Metazoa, Arthropoda, Insecta, Diptera, Culicidae. The record is from RefSeq and is a predicted model, not a curated record. The transcript is spliced from 11 exons.